This 292-nucleotide ribosomal RNA is filed under the name uncultured bacterium. RNAcentral's name for it is "partial 16S ribosomal RNA". It matches the Rfam family "Bacterial small subunit ribosomal RNA", at positions 505 to 796 of the family's 1533-position model. The record is from RNAcentral.
GUGUCAGCAGCCGCGGUAAGACGGACCGGACGAACGUUAUUCGGAAUUACUGGGCUUAAAGAGUGCGUAGGCGGCCUGGCAGGUUGGGUGUGAAAUCCCUCGGCUCAACCGAGGAACUGCGCUCAAAACCGCCAGGCUUGAGGAAGACAGGGGUGAGCGGAACUGAUGGUGGAGCGGUGAAAUGCGUUGAUAUCAUCAGGAACACCGGUGGCGAAGGCGGCUCACUGGGUCUUUUCUGACGCUGAGGCACGAAAGCUAGGGGAGCGAACGGGAUUAGAAACCCCCGUAGUCC